UGCAAGUCGAACGAGUGGCGGACGGGUGAGGAAUACAUCGGAAUCUACUCUGUCGUGGGGGAUAACGUAGGGAAACUUACGCUAAUACCGCAUACGAUUGAAUGAGCCGAUGUCGGAUUAGCUAGUUGGCGGGGUAAAGGCCCACCAAGGCGACGAUCCGUAGCUGGUCUGAGAGGAUGAUCAGCCACACUGGAACUGAGACACGGUCCAGACUCCUACGGGAGGCAGCAGUGGGGAAUAUUGGACAAUGGGCGCAAGCCUGAUCCAGCCAUACCGCGUGGGUGAAGAAGGCCUUCGGGUUGUAAAGCCCUUUUGUUGGGAAAGCGGUACCCAAAGAAUAAGCACCGGCUAACUUCGUGCCAGCAGCCGCGGUAAUACGAAGGGUGCAAGCGUUACUCGGAAUUACUGGGCGUAAAGCGUGCGUAGGUGGUCGUUUAAGUCCGUUGUGAAAGCCCUGGGCUCAACCUGGGAACUGCAGUGGAUACUGGGCGACUAGAAUGUGGUAGAGGGUAGCGGAAUUCCUGGUGUAGCAGUGAAAUGCGUAGAGAUCAGGAGGAACAUCCAUGGCG
This 569-nucleotide ribosomal RNA is filed under the name uncultured bacterium. RNAcentral describes it as "bacterial SSU rRNA". It matches the Rfam family "Bacterial small subunit ribosomal RNA", at positions 56 to 717 of the family's 1533-position model. The record is from RNAcentral.